GUUACAUUUUGACAAGAAACUGGUCAUGCUUUCCACAGCAAACCCACCAAACAACACAUCCACUGGUCCAUAUAGGGAUCACCUUGACGCCCAAGUAUCCAAUCCAAGGUGUGAUCUCGAAAGUGGCAAGGAUCCGGUACUGAAUAUGCAUGGGCAGCAGAACAGAGAGAAAAGAAGAAAGCAGUUGGGGAAAGUAGCCACAUGAAACAGACUUUGAAGAUAUUUAUGGAUCAAGUGUGGAAAGUAUAAAGCAGAUCCCCACUGAAAGGCGACUCUACUGUGACAUUUUCAUUGCAAUUGGUGCCUUGAAGGAGUCAGCGGAAAGUGUAAAGUUCCAGGUUUUGUCUUUAUUAUAGCAGCACAUGUUGGGACCCUGCUUACCCACCCAAAGAACAGCAGUUGAUUCUACUUCUACAAUUUUUACAAAUAGCAAAGGCACUGAGGAACUGGCACCUAGC
Sceloporus undulatus (fence lizard) is the source of this 458-nucleotide long non-coding RNA. RefSeq lists it as uncharacterized. The record is from RefSeq and is a predicted model, not a curated record. The transcript has 3 exons. NCBI's taxonomy places the organism in Eukaryota, Metazoa, Chordata, Lepidosauria, Squamata, Phrynosomatidae.